GAUAUGGAUGAAUGUCAGACAGGGAAUUCCCGUUGUUCACAAAAGUGCAUUAAUACUGCCGGAAGUUACAAGUGUAAUUGUGGUGAUGGCUUUGCCCUGGACAAAGAUAAUGUUUCUUGCACAGAUGUCGAUGACUGCGUUGGUGUGGUUUGUCAACAUGGCGGGCGAUGCGAUGAUAAUGUGAAUUCGUAUUUGUGUUCUUGUGCAACAGGAUAUAACGGUCGACAUUGCGAAAAAGAUAUAAACGAAUGCGAAGGAUAUUUAAAUGGUGGAUGUGAAGACAUUUGUGUAAACACUGAAGGCUCAUUCCAUUGUGCAUGUAGCGGAAAUGCCACUCUGCAAAGCAAUGGAUAUAUAUGCUCUGGU
Dreissena polymorpha is the source of this 366-nucleotide long non-coding RNA. RefSeq lists it as uncharacterized. Lineage: Eukaryota; Metazoa; Mollusca; Bivalvia; Myida; Dreissenidae. The transcript has 3 exons. The record is from RefSeq and is a predicted model, not a curated record.